Molecule: long non-coding RNA, 2211 nt
Organism: Cyprinus carpio carpio
Lineage: Eukaryota; Metazoa; Chordata; Actinopteri; Cypriniformes; Cyprinidae
Source: Ensembl
CUCUGACAUGCUCAAUGGCUGAAAUUCUUGAAGAGCAGAUUGAUGGAGUGAGAUACUUUAGAUUCAAAGUCGUUUCAUGCGGUACAGUAUGCUUGGCCUCUGGAUCGGAGCAGAUACGCUGUUGUCUGGUCAGACAAUACCCUGAAGUGAGAUGGAUCUAUGUUAAUCGCCAAACCUAACAGCACUGACAGUGAGGAGAAUGAAGACCCCUCAGAGCGCCAAGAGUUCUUCAUCUGCGCUCGGGAGAGUGAGUGAAAGGGAGAAAGCGUGCUGUGUAUUUACUCAGAAGAAAAAAAAGAGCUAAGAAUGAUGAACAUUAAGGGCCUGCCGUGAAGAUACAGCGGCUCAAAGGGGGAACGGCUUCGCUCUGCAGUCUGGGGCCUCCUAACAAGGUAUCUGUGUAUCUAAUAUUCAACAUGUGUUUUAAUGUUUCCACUGGAGGUCUUCGUAAAAAUAAUUUUUUCCUCAUCAAAACACAAACUUGCGAAAGUGAAAACAGGAGAGGAGCAAAAACAAAGGUCUGACUGUAAAACCCUGAAAACUUCCAGCUCAGUAUUCGCUCCUUUAAAUCAAAGUGCCGCCAUUGAGACCAAACAGUGAGUCAGACACUGGAGGUAACACAAUUUCCAUGCAAAUUUGCCAUGCUUAAUAAAUCCAAGUUGUCGAAAAACCACCCUUCGCGAGUGGUGAUGGCCUCGCUCACACGCCUCCUCCUCCGAAACUGUCUUUCCUUUUCCAUGUCUCUCUCUCUCUCUCUCUCUGUUUAACAGUUGAAACUUGAAGAAAAGGUUCAAUAAAACAUUACUUUUCAUCAUUUUUUCCAUUCUUUAAUUUUCACCACAAAGCUGACAUGUUUUAAGAGGUGCAACCUAAUAUUGCCUGAACUCCAGGACCCACCACAAAGAUCUCUGGGUAACAGCAAGGGGAGGAAGUGCACGGACAGGAAGACGGGCGUGUAUGGAAAAGCACACUCCACUUGGCUGCAGCAGCACUCCCUUAAGUAACAACAUAUGGCAGCGGAGGAAUUCUUCUGAUUGACGGUCGCAUGAACGUCACCCUGUCGCUGUGGACACGUCCAUGUUGGAGGACUGAUAAGACUAGCCGUACCUAAUUCCUUUCCAUGUUCUCAUCUUGGAGUAGGCAUCACAAUGGGUAUGAUUCAUGGGGUAAUUCUGACAGCUACUGACUUGGCUCCCGCUCACAUUUGGGAAGAAUGUGACCUCACAAUACUGUUCUUUCAAAGGCCUAUCCCUGUCUGUUCUUCUCCCAGACCCGGCCUGAAGCACGCCUCUGUUCCUGAAGAGAGGGAAGUGGGGAGAAAUCGAGGGAUAGAAAUAGUGGAGAAAGUGAAAAUGUGUGUGUGUCUUUCCCAAAUUGCCAGCAAGCAUGGACAGCAUUAUUGUUCUCGCUCACUGACUGUAUAUGACAAAGGUCUACAUAUAACAGACCUCAUCUGUACAGCUGCAUCCCAAAUCAGAAAUAACCAUUACAAUUAAGAGAAUAGUGUUUGUGCAAAAUCUAUAAUUUAAGAAUUGGGGCUUUGAAUUGAAGUGUGAUUAUAUAUUUGUAGUUGAAUUUAAAUAUUUUGACCCUGUAAAUUAGCCAUAUACAAACCAUAAAAUAGCCAGUCUCUAAACAUUGGUCUCAAUCUCAGUCAUAAAUUCAUAGUUUGUAGAGAGCCCCAGCACUGGAUCUUCACAUCCAGUUGAAGUCAUGGAGCGUCUGCUAAUGGUCUGAGUUGAAUCAAGCGUAUUCAAUAUCACAGCCAAAUAGGGCACAAUGUACUGUUCAUAUUAAGGAAUUGUCCGUAUUAAUUUCUCCAUAUUCUCAAUAUUCCAUAUUGAUUUUUGUGUGAGAGAAAGAGAGAAGGCAAGAGGAGAAGAGAUGCUGUUGACUUUGCUCAUCAUGGGCCACCAACCUACUCACCACAAGCCUUCACUGACGAUCUGGGCUCCUAGACGUCCGUUGAGGGUGGAAGAAUUUGACAUUGUUGGAAGUCUCAAAAAAGCAUGUCGGUUUUUCAGAAGUUAUGAUUUCAAGAUCUGCCAAUUCAUUCUUAUCUGGGCCAAGAAUGAAUGUUUGAUAUCUGGAUAUCUUUUGCUUGAGAUACACUAUGUUGCUUGGAGUUACAGCAUAUCUGAUUACUGGUGGUAAUGACAGCCUUGAAACUGAUGUUUGGAUGCUUUGUGAAAUAAAAUAAAAGCUGUCCAG